AUGGAUGCCCCUCAGGCUGCCCGGCCCUCCAGCCAUCCCUCCCUGCUCCAGUUUUUCAGAAGCCUCCUUGGGUACCCACGGAGCUUGCUGGGGGCACAGGAGCCCAGAGCAGAGAAGCAGGAGCAGGGUGCUGCUGUAGGGCCCCACAGCUGGCAGGCAGAGCAGGUUGAACCCACCCAUGGGGGGAUCCAGGAGCACUGCGAGGAUGAGGAGGGGGACAGCAUGGAGCUGCUGCUGGGGGAGCUGCGGGAGGUCAGCCUGCAGGGAUCGCUGGGCAGCAGCACCAGCAGGAGCUGCCUGACCACCAGCACCAGUGACGUGGAAGUGGCAGUGGAGCGCAAUGGGAUGGAGGCUCCUGGUGGCACCGUGACCCUGCAGAGCGAUGGGGCGGCCGGCGAGGAGAGAGGGGCUGCAGAUGAAGCCGUUGGCAGAGCUCUGGUGAUGGAUGAGUUCCUUCAAGGUCUGAGUGCUGCUGAUGAAGACACCUGCUCUGCAAGCCCUGAGCCGAUGUUUUCAAUGGAUCUUGACACUGAAUGGGAGAAAGGGCAUCUCCUGAAAGCAAAGCAGGGCGCAGGAUCCCCGAAAGCAGAGCUGUCCCUGUGGAACAGGUUCAUCAGUGUGAACAGACACCAAUGGACUUUGCGUAAGAGCAGGAGCAAGCCCAGAGGAGGCCAUAGCAGGAGGAGGAUGGGUGUCUGCAAUCCAGACAACAAAGCCUGGGCUCGUGCCUCGAGGAGUUCGAUGGAGCUGGAAAGCGAGGAGCAGCCGCUCCUGCGGGCAGAUGAGAGCAGCCCCACGAGCCCUCAGCUCCCCGUCCUGCCCGCAGAACCCUCUGCAGCACUGCCGGUGUACAGGUUUUCCAAAAGCAGAGCAGCCGCUGGUGGCUUUGGGAGAAGCCAGGCAGAGCUGGGAGCAAACAGAGCAGGAAUGCCUGGAGAAGGCUGAGAUGCAGCACCUGCAGAGGUGGGAGCAGCCCCACGGAGCCACACCGCCACUGCAGGAGACAUCAGUGCUUCCCCUCUGCUGUUCCCAACCUGCCCAGGAGCCCCGUGCUUCAUCUUCCUCCUCUUCUUUCCUUUGUGUUUAUCAUUCAUGUGCACACCACGUUUCCUUGCUGCUUUUUCCCUUUCCUUUUCCUUGGAGAAGGCCCUGCGUGUCUCACCACACCCAUGGGGUGGACAAGUUUGGUCUGAGGUGGUUUCAAUUGAACAUUUUGUGUGAAUGAGCUCUUCUUGCUUCUCCGUCUUUGCUCUCAAGUUCCCUCAUUAAACACAGAAUUCUCUGCUGAAUUCGUUUUUCUCCUUUCUUUCUUUCCUUCCACCUCCCAGUUUUUUUCACGUCUUCCACUUUCCUCUCUGUGGUUUUUAAGGUGUUUAUGGAUUAAUUUUUUAAUUUGGGGGUUAGAAAAGGCAAAGGAGAGGUGUGAUCCUCCGAUCCAUGAUGGUCCCCUGAUUGUUAAAGGUGACAAUCUUGUAUGCAGUGUUGGAGAGGAGUUGGAGGACCCCGACCCUGUAGAGGAGAAGACCCUCUGCUCUUCAUCUUCUGUUUGAGUACAUGGGAGAAACCAUGCGAGCAGGGCUGGAGGAGCUGCUGGCAGCCCGGCUCCUGCUAAUCUGGGAAUUGUAUGCCAGGAAGCACACACCCAGCCGACCUGCCCCAGACAAAGCCUGCCGUGUCCGCACCGGCUCUCCAGGCGUUCCCCGCGCGCCUUGGGUUAUUUCAGAGUUAUCCCAGCAUGGGUUCCCUCCCCAGACUUCCACCUGUGCUGGUUGCGGGGUUGGAGCGCAUUGCUCCCGGCAUGGCUCGCAUGCUCUCCUUCUGCAAAAUGGGGCUGUGCCAUCUAAACUCUCCUGGCCAACCUGAAAUACCAGUGGUGAGAGCGGGAUCCCCUCCCUGCUUGUCUUGCAGGUGUUCACUUUGGACCCUAACGAUGGCAAAUUAACCAGGGCCAUUGUUACUUUCUCUGGGUUGAGCAGAGCUAUUGCGUCAAUAGAAACAUCCCACAUCACCUCUCUGGUAGCAGAACUCUGCGUCCUUGAUGUGUCCUUAGAAACCUUCAGCUCCAAAUAAACUUCUGCGGGAUUUCCUGUAGAAAAGCACUAUAUAAAAUGUGGGUAUUCUUAGCAGUGCCCCUCUGCCAGGUCGUGUGUCACACACCAGCACCGGGCGAGGAGAUGCCAGGAGGAAGGGUUUGCCUCUGCUGAGUCACUUGGGUUACACACUGCCUUGGGAAGCAGCUGCUGUCAUCUGCUAAACGAGGGUUGCCAGAGCUGACCAAGUCAUUUCCACAGCAUUCAAGCAUCCCUGGGUAGGGCAGCCCUCAUCCCUGCACCAUUCCCACUGUGUGGGUGGGAAUUGGAGGGGUCUGCACGGAGCCACGCUUGGCACUGCAUGUGGUGGGUGGUGGGAGUGGGCAGGGUGUGUUCUGCUCUCCUCUAUCAGGGCAGAGCUGGGCCCACCGCCACGGUGAGCAGCUGCACGCUCACGUGGUGCUCCCACAUCCUGCACAACGUAUUUCAAGAGGUGCUAUUUACAAACACCAACACGGUGCUAGAGCAAGUGCUGCAACCUGCACGGCGUGGAGGAG
Long non-coding RNA from Meleagris gallopavo (turkey), 2587 nucleotides. Lineage: Eukaryota; Metazoa; Chordata; Aves; Galliformes; Phasianidae. The record is from Ensembl.